GACCAUCCUCCAAGGCUAAAUACUCCUGACUGACCGAUAGUGAACCAGUACCGUGAGGGAAAGGCGAAAAGAACCCCGGCGAGGGGAGUGAAAAAGAACCUGAAACCGUGUACGUACAAGCAGUGGGAGCACCUUCGGGUGUGACUGCGUACCUUUUGUAUAAUGGGUCAGCGACUUAUAUUCUGUAGCAAGGUUAACCGUAUAGGGGAGCCGCAGGGAAACCGAGUCUUAACUG
Molecule: ribosomal RNA, 235 nt
Filed under: Klebsiella pneumoniae
Lineage: Bacteria; Pseudomonadati; Pseudomonadota; Gammaproteobacteria; Enterobacterales; Enterobacteriaceae
Description: partial 23S ribosomal RNA
Rfam family: Bacterial large subunit ribosomal RNA
Source: RNAcentral